AGAGUCCUUCUGUCGGUUGGUCCUGGAGCGGCGCAGCCGGAGUGGGGCCGUGAGGAGAAUAAAGGCAGCCCCGUUGAUGACUGAAAAUGACAAAGCAUCCACCUAACAGACGAGGAAUCAGCUUUGAAGUGGGAGCCCAGUUGGAAGCCCGGGACCGUUUAAAAAACUGGUAUCCAGCUCACAUAGAAGACAUUGACUACGAGGAAGGAAAAGUACUCAUCCAUUUCAAGCGUUGGAACCAUCGUUAUGAUGAGUGGUUCUGCUGGGACAGUCCUUAUUUACGCCCUUUAGAGAAAAUACAGCUGAGGAAAGAGGGCUUGCAUGAAGAGGAUGGAUCUUCUGAAUUUCAAAUAAAUGAGCAGGUCCUUGCUUGCUGGUCUGAUUGUCGUUUUUACCCGGCCAAAGUCACUGCUGUUAACAAGGAUGAAUAUUGUGGGUAAUGCUAGGCCUAAAGAAACAGAUCACAAAAGUCUUUCAUCAUCUCCUGAUAAACGAGAGAAGUUUAAAGAACAGAGAAAAGCAACAGUGAAUGUGAAGAAAGACAAAGAAGAUAAACCCUUAAAGACAGAAAAGCGACCCAAGCAGCCUGAUAAAGAAGGAAAGUUAAUCUGUUCUGAAAAGGGGAAAGUGUCAGAGAAAAGUCUUCCCAAGAACGAGAAGGAAGACAAGGAAAACAUUUCCGAAAAUGACAGAGAGUAUUCUGGAGAUGCCCAAGUGGAUAAGAAACCUGAAAAUGACAUUGUGAAGAGUCCACAAGAAAACUUGAGGGAACCCAAAAGAAAACGAGGCAGACCCCCUUCCAUAGCUCCUACUGCUGUGGAUUCAAACUCUCAAACUUUGCAACCAAUAACAUUGGAACUGAGAAGAAGGAAAAUAUCAAAAGGAUGUGAAGUCCCAUUAAAACGUCCUCGGCUUGACAAAAAUUCAUCCCAGGAAAAGUCAAAAAACUACUCGGAAAACACUGACAAAGACUUAUCGAGGAGACGUUCCUCCAGGCUGUCCACUAAUGGGACCCAUGAGAUCCUAGAUCCUGACUUGGUUGUAUCAGAUUUGGUUGAUACGGAUCCUUUGCAAGACACGUUGUCUAGUACCAAGGAAUCUGAAGAAGGUCAGUUGAAGUCUACUUUGGAAGCUGGCCAGGUCUCAUCUGCACUGACUUGCCACUCCUUUGGGGAUGGAUCCGGGGCUGCAGGCUUGGAGUUGAACUGCCCAUCAAUGGGAGAAAACACAAUGAAAACAGAACCGACUUCUCCCCUUGUGGAAUUACAAGAGAUUUCGACUGUGGAAGUAACAAAUACUUUUAAGAAAACAGAUGAUUUUGGGUCAUCUAAUGCACCAGCUGUUGACCUAGACCAUAAGUUUAGAUGCAAAGUUGUGGACUGUUUAAAAUUUUUCCGCAAAGCCAAACUGUUGCACUAUCACAUGAAGUAUUUCCAUGGAAUGGAGAAGUCACUGGAGCCAGAAGAGAGCCCGGGAAAGAGGCAUGUCCAAACCAGGGGCCCUUCAGCUUCAGACAAGCCCAGCCAGGAGACCCUGACCAGGAAGCGGGUCUCUGCCAGUUCCCCAACUACAAAAGACAAGGAAAAGAAUAAAGAGAAGAAAUUCAAGGAGUUUGUGAGAGUGAAGCCAAAGAAG
Molecule: small RNA, 1635 nt
Filed under: Pan troglodytes (chimpanzee)
Lineage: Eukaryota; Metazoa; Chordata; Mammalia; Primates; Hominidae
Description: processed transcript
Source: RNAcentral